RNAcentral lists this ribosomal RNA (1343 nucleotides) under uncultured bacterium. Its description in RNAcentral is "16S ribosomal RNA". It matches the Rfam family "Bacterial small subunit ribosomal RNA", at positions 28 to 1378 of the family's 1533-position model. The record is from RNAcentral.
GACGAACGCUGGCGGCGUGCUUAACACACGCAAGUCGAACGGAAAGGCCCUGCUUUUGUGGGGUGCUCGAGUGGCGAACGGGUGAGUAACUCGUGAGUAACCUGCCCUUGACUUUGGGAUAACUUCAGGAAACUGGGGCUAAUACCGGAUAGGAGCUCCUGCUGCAUGGUGGGGGUUGGAAAGUUUCGGCGGUUGGGGAUGGACUCGCGGCUUAUCAGCUUGUUGGUGGGGUAGUGGCUUACCAAGGCUUUGACGGGUAGCCGGCCUGAGAGGGUGACCGGCCACAUUGGGACUGAGAUACGGCCCAGACUCCUACGGGAGGCAGCAGUGGGGAAUAUUGCACAAUGGGCGGAAGCCUGAUGCAGCAACGCCGCGUGCGGGAUGACGGCCUUCGGGUUGUAAACCGCUUUCGCCUGUGACGAAGCGUGAGUGACGGUAAUGGGUAAAGAAGCACCGGCUAACUACGUGCCAGCAGCCGCGGUGAUACGUAGGGUGCGAGCGUUGUCCGGAUUUAUUGGGCGUAAAGGGCUCGUAGGUGGUUGAUCGCGUCGGAAGUGUAAUCUUGGGGCUUAACCCUGAGCGUGCUUUCGAUACGGGUUGACUUGAGGAAGGUAGGGGAGAAUGGAAUUCCUGGUGGAGCGGUGGAAUGCGCAGAUAUCAGGAGGAACACCAGUGGCGAAGGCGGUUCUCUGGGCCUUUCCUGACGCUGAGGAGCGAAAGCGUGGGGAGCGAACAGGCUUAGAUACCCUGGCAGUCCACGCUGUAAACGGUGGGUACUAGGUGUGGGGUCCAUUCCACGGGUUCCGUGCCGUAGCUAACGCUUUAAGUACCCCGCCUGGGGAGUACGGCCGCAAGGCUAAAACUCAAAGGAAUUGACGGGGCCCCGCACAAGCGGCGGAGCAUGCGGAUUAAUUCGAUGCAACGCGUAGAACCUUACCUGGGUUUGACAUGGAUCGGGAGUGCUCAGAGAUGGGUGUGCCUCCUUUGGGGUCGGUUCACAGGUGGUGCAUGGCUGUCGUCAGCUCGUGUCGUGAGAUGUUGGGUUAAGUCCCGCAACGAGCGCAACCCUUGUUCACUGUUGCCAGCACGUUAUGGUGGGGACUCAGUGGAGACCGCCGGGGUUAACUCGGAGGAAGGUGGGGAUGACGUCAAGUCAUCAUGCCCCUUAUGUCCAGGGCUUCACGCAUGCUACAAUGGCUGGUACAGAGAGUGGCGAGCCUGUGAGGGUGAGCGAAUCUCGGAAAGCCGGUCUCAGUUCGGAUUGGGGUCUGCAACUCGACCUCAUGAAGUCGGAGUCGCUAGUAAUCGCAGAUCAGCAACGCUGUGGUGAAUACGUUCCCGGG